This 400-nucleotide ribosomal RNA is filed under the name uncultured bacterium. RNAcentral's name for it is "bacterial SSU rRNA". It matches the Rfam family "Bacterial small subunit ribosomal RNA", at positions 8 to 399 of the family's 1533-position model. The record is from RNAcentral.
AGAGUUUGAUCAUGGCUCAGGAUGAACGCUAGCGGCAGGCUUAACACAUGCAAGUCGAGGGGUAACAGGUCACGCUUUAGGGCGUGAUGCUGACGACCGGCGCACGGGUGCGUAACGCGUAUAGAACCUACCUUUUACAGAGGGAUAGCCUUUAGAAAUGAAGAUUAAUACCUCAUAGUGUUGUAGAUUGGCAUCAGUUUACAAUUAAAGAUUUAUCGGUAAAAGAUGGCUAUGCGUCCUAUUAGUUAGUUGGUAAGGUAACGGCUUACCAAGGCAUCGAUAGGUAGGGGUCCUGAGAGGGAGAUCCCCCACACUGGGACUGAGACACGGCCCAGACUCCUACGGGAGGCAGCAGUGGGGAAUAUUGCGCAAUGGGGGAAACCCUGACGCAACGACGCCG